GACGAACGCUGGCGGCGUGCUUAACACAUGCAAGUCGAACGGACAGGCCCUGCUUUUGUUGCUCUCUCGAUUGGCGAACAGGUGAGUGACACGUGAGUAACCUCCCCUUGACUUACGGAUAUAUUCAGGAAACUGGGGCUCAUACCGGGUAUAAGCUCCUGAUCCAUGGUGGGGGUUGGAAAGUGUCGGCGGUUGGGGAUGGACUCGCGGGUUAUCCGCUUGUUGGUGGGGUAGGGGCUUACCAAGGCUGUGACGGGUAGCCGGCCUGAGAGGGUGACCGGCGACAUGGGUACUGAGAGACGGACCAGAAGGCUACGGGAGGCAGCAGUGGGGAGUAUGGCACAAUGGGGCGAAGUCAGAUGCAGAAACGCCGCGUGCGGGAUGACGGCUUUCGGGUUGUAAACCACUGUCGACUGUGACGAAGAGGGAGUGACGGUAAUGGGUAAAGAAGCACCGGCUAACUACGUG
RNAcentral lists this ribosomal RNA (468 nucleotides) under uncultured bacterium. RNAcentral's name for it is "partial 16S ribosomal RNA". It matches the Rfam family "Bacterial small subunit ribosomal RNA", at positions 28 to 507 of the family's 1533-position model. The record is from RNAcentral.